This 179-nucleotide small RNA is filed under the name Streptomyces sp. RNAcentral describes it as "c-di-AMP sequence". It matches the Rfam family "c-di-AMP riboswitch aptamer (ydaO/yuaA leader)". From Rfam's summary of the family: This family represents a conserved RNA structure found upstream of the ydaO and yuaA genes in Bacillus subtilis and related genes in other bacteria. RNAcentral also lists the same sequence under 1 other name. Lineage: Bacteria; Bacillati; Actinomycetota; Actinomycetes; Kitasatosporales; Streptomycetaceae. The record is from RNAcentral.
UCCACCCAUCGACCAACUCACACGUACGGCAGGAGCGGGGGAACCAGGUAAGCCGCCGGAGGGGCGUCCCACGACGCCCCGGACCGGCUCGGGGUGAAGUCGUGUCGCCGUACGGCGGCACGGCCGGGCAGCUCCCGCCCGAACCCGACAGCUCACCUCGCAGGCGACGGAGAGGAAAA